UAUCUGAGCGCCGCGCGGUUACGAGGAGUAUAAUAGGAACAUCAGUAGUAGUGUAAAAACUUUCACAAUGAAAUCUGAAGCCAAGGAUGGAGAGGAGGAGAGUCUACAAACUGCUUUCAAGAAAUUAAGAGUGGAUGCAUCUGGAUCCAUAGCAUCUCUGUCUGUUGGAGAAGGUGCAAGUGUCAGAGCCUCAGUCAGAACAGCAGCAGAUGAUACCAAACCUAAAAGUACAUGUGUAUCUAAAGACAGCUGGCACGGGUCUACAAGGAAAUCUUCACGAGGAGCAGUGAGAACCCAGCGUCGUCGACGGUCUAAGUCUCCUGUCCUUCAUCCUCCAAAGUUUAUACAUUGCAGUACAAUAGCACCUUCUUCCAGCAGCCAACUCAAGCACAAAGGCCAGACUGACUCCCCUGAUGGCAGCAGUGGGCUGGGAAUUUCAACCCCUAAAGAGUUCAGUGCAGGAGAAAGCUCCACUUCUCUCGAUGCUAAUCACACAGGGGCAAUCAUUGAGCCUUUGAGAACUUUGGUUCCAAGGCUCUCAUCAGAGAGUAAGAAGGAAGAUGACUCUGAUGCCACCCAAGUCUCCCAAGCAAGUCUCAAAGCCAGUGAUCUCUCUUACUUUCAGUCUGUUUCCAAGCUAAACCAGGGCAAGCCAUGUGCGUGCAUAGGCAAGGAAUGCCAGUGUAAGAGAUGGCAUGAUAUGGAGGUAUAUUCCUUUUCAGGCCUGCAGAACGUCCCUCCCCUGGCACCAGAACAAAGAUCCACGCUUGAGGACUACUCUCAGUCCCUGCAUACCAGAACUCUGUCUGGCUCUCCCCGAUCCUGUUCCGAGCAAGCUCGAGUCUAUGUGGAUGAUGUGACCAUUGAGGACCUAUCAGGCUACAUGGAGUAUUACUUGUAUAUUCCCAAGAAAAUGUCCCACAUGGCAGAAAUGAUGUACACCUGAUAGCAAGAAGCUAACUCAUAUGCUUUAAACCAAUGAAGGGUUGUCAAAGAGAUUUAGUUAACGGCAGACCUUGUGGCCACUUUGUGUGAGAAGACAUCUCUUUCUGCUCACUGUGCUUGCAAUAAAAACUUUUCUUGGCAUCUCAA
Carlito syrichta (Philippine tarsier) is the source of this 1092-nucleotide RNA transcript. It is a transcript of the gene named oxidative stress-responsive serine-rich protein 1 pseudogene, with no coding region annotated. The transcript has a single exon. Lineage: Eukaryota; Metazoa; Chordata; Mammalia; Primates; Tarsiidae. The record is from RefSeq and is a predicted model, not a curated record.